Macrobrachium nipponense is the source of this 1081-nucleotide long non-coding RNA. RefSeq lists it as uncharacterized. The record is from RefSeq and is a predicted model, not a curated record. The transcript has 3 exons. Lineage: Eukaryota; Metazoa; Arthropoda; Malacostraca; Decapoda; Palaemonidae.
GUUCGUCUGUUUUAGUGGGAGUGGCCGUUAAGGGAAGGAUAAGAUCUUUUGUGGAAAUGUGAGGCAUUGAGGCUGAUGGAGCCAGAGGUGAUAGACGUGGAAAAUCCAAGCUCUUAAAAUUACCUAUUGGAAAGUGCUAGUGUGAAGCUGGGAAGACGAUGAAGAGUAACUACGGUCUACAAUGCAACGACAGUCAACCAUUUGAAUCUUUCCACUACAGUGUUGGACGUUGGAAAUCUAAGCGACUUCAGACAUCCCCCAGGGGAUCUCUCCAGUUCCUCCCCCUGGAAGAAGGUCUCUCCUUCCCCUAUGGUCAUGAACAUAUCCCCAGGCAGAGAAGGAGCUGUUGAUCUUAAGAAUAAGACGUGUUAUGCUGCCCCUCAUGUUCUACCACCUAUCAUGUCUGUGAGAAGUUGCCUUAGCAGAUUAUCUACUCAGCCUUGCCACAAACAAGCCAGCUUCUGAAAUUGAAUGUAACAACAAGCAGAAAGCACGAGUCUAGACAACUGCAUUACCAUUGUGAAAAAUUUCUAUUGCAUUUUGAAAGCCAGUUGACUGUAAUUUGUUGUAAAAUACUUAUUUUGCUGGGUUGCAUACCAGUUCCUCGUUGGACAGGUGGUUUUCGUGCUCGCCUACCAAUCUGGUGGUCCGAAGUUCGAUUCUCCGCUGGGCCAACAUGGAAUCAGAGGAAUUAAUUUCUGGUGACAGAAAUUCAUUUCUCGAUGUAAUGUGGUUUGGAUCCCACAAUAAGCUGCAGGUCCCUUUGAUACGAAACCAAUUGGUUCCUAUUCUCGUAAAAAAAUAUCUAAUCCUUUGGGACAGCCCUAGGAGAGCUGUUAAGCAGUUAGGAUUUUUUCUGCUUUAUUUGUUAAUCAUAAACUUUGUUGUGAGAUAUGCGUUGCGCUUAAGUUGCUGGGUUGCAUACCAGCCAGUAUUUAUUCUACCUGUUUGAACUUUGUGAAAUAAAUUAAUGUAAAUGUAAAAUACUGGGUUCUGGCAACCUUCCCUUUGUUUUAAAUGUAAUCAGGAGGCAAGCUCUAUCUUUUGGUACAUUUACUUACUUAUUUGGUUCUGGGUAAGU